This is a long non-coding RNA of Oncorhynchus tshawytscha (Chinook salmon), 1496 nucleotides long. The record is from Ensembl. NCBI's taxonomy places the organism in Eukaryota, Metazoa, Chordata, Actinopteri, Salmoniformes, Salmonidae.
UAGUAUUCACUCUGAUAUGGGGGCUGUAGUAUUCACACUGAUAUGGGGGCUGUAGUAUUCAUUCACUGAUAUGGGGGCUGUAGUAUUCACUCUGAUAUGGGGGCUGUAGUAUUCACACUGAUAUGGGGGCUGUAGUAUUCACUCUGAUAUGGGGGCUGUAGUAUUCACACUGAUAUGGGGGCUAUAGUAUUCACACUGAUAUGGGGGCUCUAGUAUUCACACUGAUAUGGGGGCUAAAGUAUUCACACUGAUAUGGGGGCUAGUAUUCACACUGAUAUGGGGGCUCUAGUAUUCACACUGAUAUGGGGGCUAAAGUAUUCACUCUGAUAUGGGGGCUCUAGUAUUCACACUGAUAUGGGGGCUGUAGUAUUCACACUGAUAUGGGGGCUGUAGUAUUCACACUGAUAUGGGGGCUGUAGUAUUCACUCUGAUAUGGGGGCUGUAGUAUUCACUCUGAUAUGGGGGCUGUAGUAUUCACACUGAUAUGGGGGCUGUAGUAUUCACACUGAUAUGGGGGCUAUAGUAUUCACACUGAUAUGGGGGCUCUAGUAUUCACACUGAUAUGGGGGCUAAAGUAUUCACUCUGAUAUGGGGGGGGCUGUAGUAUUCACACUGAUAUGGGGGCUGUAGUAUUCACACUGAUAUGGGGGCUGUAGUAUUCACACUGAUAUGGGGGCUAGUAUUCACUCUGAUAUGGGGGCUGCAGUAUUCACUCUGAUAUGGGGGCUGUAGUAUUCACUCUGAUAUGGGGGCUGUAGUAUUCACACUGAUAUGGGGGCUGUAGUAUUCACUCUGAUAUGGGGGCUGUAGUAUUCACUCUGAUAUGGGGGCUGUAGUAUUCACACUGAUAUGGGGGCUGUAGUAUUCACUCUGAUAUGGGGGCUGUAGUAUUCACUCUGAUAUGGGGGCUGUAGUAUUCACUCUGAUAUAGGGGCUGUAGUAUUCACUCUGAUAUGGGGGCUGUAGUAUUCACUCUGAUAUGGGGACUGUAGUAUUCACACGGAUAUAGGGGCUGUAGUAUUCACUCUGAUAUAGGGGCUGUAGUAUUCACUCUGAUAUGGGGGCUGUAGUAUUCAAUCUGAUAUGGGGGCUGUAGUAUUCAUAUUUAAAUGGGGGCUGUAGUAUUCACUCUGAUAUAGGGGCUGUAGUAUUCAGUCUGAUAUGGGGGCUGUAGUAUUCACUCUGAUAUGGGGGCUAAAGUAUUCACACUGCUAUGGGGGCUCUAGUAUUCACACUGAUAUGGGGGCUCUAGUAUUCACACUGAUAUGGGGGCUCUAGUAUUCACACUGAUAUGGGGGCUAAAGUAUUCACUCUGAUAUGGGGGCUAAAGUAUUCACACUGAUAUGGGGGCUGAAGUAUUCACUCUGAUAUGGGGGCUCUAGUAUUCACUCUGAUAUGGGGGCUGUAGUAUUCACUCUGAUAUGGGGGCUAGUCUACUGUAUAUAUCAGUCUGGACAUGGACAUGCCAACCGUAGUCACUAAGCAAUAUUAAAUUA